GAUCUUUAACAACAGAUGUCUCGACUCUCGUAUCGAUAAAGAACAUAGCAAUAUGCAAUACUUGAAGUAAAUUGUAGAAUCUCGUUAAUCAGUUGUUGAUUGAUCUUUUGAUAUGUUAAUUUCAACAACU
This 130-nucleotide ribosomal RNA is filed under the name Solanum tuberosum (potato). RNAcentral's name for it is "5.8S ribosomal RNA". It matches the Rfam family "5.8S ribosomal RNA". Rfam says of the family: 5.8S ribosomal RNA (5.8S rRNA) is a component of the large subunit of the eukaryotic ribosome. It is transcribed by RNA polymerase I as part of the 45S precursor that also contains 18S and 28S rRNA. The record is from Rfam by way of RNAcentral. Lineage: Eukaryota; Viridiplantae; Streptophyta; Magnoliopsida; Solanales; Solanaceae.